Tupaia belangeri chinensis (Chinese tree shrew) is the source of this 218-nucleotide long non-coding RNA. RefSeq lists it as uncharacterized. The record is from RefSeq and is a predicted model, not a curated record. Lineage: Eukaryota; Metazoa; Chordata; Mammalia; Scandentia; Tupaiidae. The transcript is spliced from 3 exons.
UAGAGGAGAAGAGAUUGAAGUUUGUGCCGCAUGGUGGAUGCUGCUUUUUGACAUUUCUCUUUGCUUCUCUCUGGUCUGAGUAUUACGGUAUGGAAGAGGAGAAAACCAGUGCGAAGAGAAGCAGAAUCCGGAGAACAGGCCGGCGGGGCAGAGCAGCGGCCGCAGCCUCGGCGAGCGCGAACAGCAGCACCCCCGCGACCCACCGCGCCAGUCUGGAU